UGCCUUGUAGUAUAUACUUUUAUUACCGUAAACUGCAACUUUACCGAAGCAAUCGCCAAGGCAU
Molecule: transfer RNA, 64 nt
Filed under: Venustaconcha ellipsiformis
Lineage: Eukaryota; Metazoa; Mollusca; Bivalvia; Unionida; Unionidae
Description: tRNA-Cys
Source: RNAcentral